Molecule: ribosomal RNA, 253 nt
Filed under: uncultured bacterium
Lineage: Bacteria
Description: partial 16S ribosomal RNA
Rfam family: Bacterial small subunit ribosomal RNA
Source: RNAcentral
UACGUAGGGUGCGAGCGUUGUCCGGAAUUAUUGGGCGUAAAGAGCUCGUAGGCGGUUUGUCACGUCUGCUGUGAAAUCCCGAGGCUCAACCUCGGGCCUGCAGUGGGUACGGGCAGACUGGAGUGCGGUAGGGGAGAAUGGAAUUCCUGGUGUAGCGGUGGAAUGCGCAGAUAUCAGGAGGAACACCAGUGGCGAAGGCGCCACUCUGGGCCGUAACUGACGCUGAGGAGCGAAAGCGUGGGUAGCAAACAGG